GAUGAACGCUGGCGGCGUGCCUAAUACAUGCAAGUCGAGCGAACGGACGAGAAGCUUGCUUUUCUGAUGUUAGCGGCGGACGGGUGAGUAACACGUGGAUAACCUACCUAUAAGACUGGGAUAACUUCGGGAAACCGGAGCUAAUACCGGAUAAUAUUUUGAGCCGCAUGGUUCAAAAGUGAAAGACGGUCUUGCUGUCACUUAUAGAUGGAUCCGCGCUGCAUUAGCUAGUUGGUAAGGUAACGGCUUACCAAGGCAACGAUGCAUAGCCGACCUGAGAGGGUGAUCGGCCACACUGGAACUGAGACACGGUCCAGACUCCUACGGGAGGCAGCAGUAGGGAAUCUUCCGAAAUGGGCGAAAGCCUGACGGAGCAACGCCGCGUGAGUGAUGAAGGUCUUCGGAUCGUAAAACUCUGUUAUUAGGGAAGAACAUAUGUGUAAGUAACUGUGCACAUCUUGACGGUACCUAAUCAGAAAGCCACGGCUAACUACGUG
This 497-nucleotide ribosomal RNA is filed under the name uncultured bacterium. Its description in RNAcentral is "partial 16S ribosomal RNA". It matches the Rfam family "Bacterial small subunit ribosomal RNA", at positions 28 to 507 of the family's 1533-position model. The record is from RNAcentral.